UCUUUGCUAAUGCUGCAUUUCUUUGUUUGCCCUCUGGAAUCCCGAAUAUUUUGCUUUUCGAUUAAAAAACAAUCUGUAUUUCUAUACGUACGUAUCCAUAUCAUACUAAUUACACUACGUGCGUAUAGCAGUGCUUUAUAUGUAGAGCACGGUCUUGGAUUUGAGUGAGCCACACAUUUAUCAUCGAUUUCUGCUAAAUGCAUUCCUGCUCAUUACUACAGGACAUGCAAUCCAAUGAGAAGAGGCCCAUUUCACCUCACUGACAAAUGAGGGCAGGCAGGACUGGUGUGAGCAGCUCCAGUCUGUCCUCUGAAUUUCCCAGAAUCCCCCCAUGUUUGGCUGCCACUGUCAACUUCAAAAACCGUGUUAGAAACACUCCAGCGAUACCCAUGAAUCAGAAAGUUCAGGAGCAGAGAGGGUCUACAACCUUUAGAAUGUGCUUCAUGACAGAUUUCCAUCCGAUUGAGCGUCGGUGGGAUUUGCUGGACGACAAGUGCGAUCCAUGGAGAGCCCACCUCACAGCUUACCGGACUAACGUCUGGGUGCCAGAUAUCGCAGGAUGCUUUCAGAGGUUUUACAGAAUGCAUACCUCGAUGGGCUGGUAUCUGGUCCAGAGAGUGCCCAAGCCAUGUGAACUCUGCUACAUGGAAUAAGCUGCAUUUCCUGCUGUAGCCCUAGACAAGAUGGGUCAGCUGGCCAUCCAGGACGGGGUGACGAUGACACUAUCCCACAACGUCCCUGUGACAGGUUCCAUUGUUUAACACACUCUCAUAACAUAUGGACAAUUUGGAGAACUCUGAGAGGAAGCCAGAGAAAAUUCACAUCUUCAGAGGGACAUCCAUACAUAGACACCUAUAGGUGUAAGCAUGCAUUGCUAGUCAGUGAACUAGCCUGCACUCUGCAAUUGUAAACAUACUCAAAGGGCACGUCAUUGGAUAAACCAACCCAGGAUCAGGAAGAGCUCAUUUUUGUCUCCAAAACCUUAAAGCUUCAAAGGAUGACAAGUGAUACUCAGAGCUUUCUGACUUUCUGCACACUAUGCUCUGCUAUACUGACCUUUUAUGUUUGUAUAUAUGGUCUUCCUGUUAGAUUUAACAAGUCUGACCAGUCUCUUCAUCACUAUGGUGUUUUUGAGCACAAGCUCUAUGUUUUGUUCUUUAUCACACGAUCUCUGUAUCCUCUAGACCACUGUUUCCCAAUCUUGUCCCCAGGGACCCACAGACAGUCCACGUUUUUGCUUUGGAAGCAAAAUGUGGACCGUCUGGUAGGGAGCAAAAACAGGGACCGACACUGUAUUGCAUGAAAAUCCCAGGAUGGUAUCUAUUUCUGAGGCGAUGGAACCACCGCAUGUCGUACCGACGACCACACAAUGUUCAAAAUUGCUUAAAUCAUCUCUCUCUAACAGUGACUCAAUUAUUUGAUCCUGUCUGAAUGCAGUGUAUAUCGAGCUGCAGCCACAUGACUCAUAGUGUGAGGGAGCAUGCUGUUUGUAUUAAUGAGCAGGUGAACAUAAAGUGGCCAGUGAGUGUUUGCAGUGCGCUAUUAUAUAUGACAUUAUUUGGAUGUGAAAGGCACAACCGUUCCUGCAAAUUGGGGAAAAAGAAACGUUGGUGACCACAGAUUCACAAAAUCGGCUUUAUGUUGACAGUCUCCCUUAUCAUAUAACGUCCUUUCAAGCCUUUCCGAACUCAACAAUGUGCCAGAGAGGACUGUUUUUAUCAUUUAUCAAGGGAUGCAGAGUUCUGCAUUCGGAGUCCCUUUACAGGACUGCUUUACCGAGCUGUUAUUCUUGGAACAGUGGACUUUCCGUUACCAUUGAUUCUAGCCAUUCUCACCUGAUCUCUCUCACUAAUACGGUGUUUUCAUCCACAGAAAUGCUGCUGACUGGAUGCUUUUAGUUUAUCGCACCAUUCUCUGUAAAUUCCAGAUGCUGUAAUGUAGGAAUUAAAAGCUCAGGAGAGUUGGCUGUUUCUGAGAUGCUGAAAUCCACGCCUGACACCAACAAUCACACCGUGUUUAAAAUCACUAAGUUCGCACAUCAUAGUUGUCCUAAUGCUAAGUCAAGCUCUAUGAACCAAUUGACCCUGUCUGUGUGCCGUAUGUAU
Molecule: long non-coding RNA, 2105 nt
Organism: Brienomyrus brachyistius
Lineage: Eukaryota; Metazoa; Chordata; Actinopteri; Osteoglossiformes; Mormyridae
Exons: 4
Source: RefSeq, a predicted model, not a curated record